GCCGGGUGUGGUGGUGGGCGCCUGUAAUCCUGGUUACUCAGGAGGCUAAGGCAUAAGAAUCGCUUGAACCCGGGAGGCAGAGGUUGCAGUGAGCCGAGAUUGUGCCACUGCACUCCAGCCUGGGCAACAGAGUGAGACUUUGCCUUUU
Molecule: unclassified non-coding RNA, 148 nt
Organism: Papio anubis (olive baboon)
Lineage: Eukaryota; Metazoa; Chordata; Mammalia; Primates; Cercopithecidae
Rfam family: Metazoan signal recognition particle RNA
About the family: The signal recognition particle (SRP) is a universally conserved ribonucleoprotein. It is involved in the co-translational targeting of proteins to membranes. The eukaryotic SRP consists of a 300-nucleotide 7S RNA and six proteins: SRPs 72, 68, 54, 19, 14, and 9.
Source: Ensembl